Sapajus apella (tufted capuchin) is the source of this 4268-nucleotide long non-coding RNA. RefSeq lists it as uncharacterized. NCBI's taxonomy places the organism in Eukaryota, Metazoa, Chordata, Mammalia, Primates, Cebidae. The record is from RefSeq and is a predicted model, not a curated record. The transcript is spliced from 2 exons.
UUGUCCUCCCAAAGUCCUGGGAUUACAGGCGUGAGCCACCGCGCCCGGCCUUAAUCCAGUUUUAUAGUCUUACCUGGAGUAACUUAAACGUCAUCCUUACUUCUCUUACUCCUGAAAAAUGCUUAAUAUGCAUUUUAUCACUCAAUCAGCCCCUGACAUGACAAAAAAGCUACAGAAAUUAGAAUCUGGCCCUCAAACCCCUCAACAGGAAUUAAUCAACUUUGUCUUCAAGGUGUUCAAUAAUAGGGAAGAAGCUGCCGGGAGGCAGUGCAUCUCAGAACUACAGAUGCUUGCCUCUGCUGUAAGACACAUCCCAGCCACACCACUGGUUCACAAAUACUUCAAAAUGCCCAGGCUGCAGCGUCCAGCUGCCCCUCCCAGACCUUUCUUCAAGUGUUGGAAACCUGGCCACUGGGCCAAGGAACACCCGCAGCCCAGGAUUUCUCCUAAGCCCUGCACCAUCUGUGCGGGGGGCCCCACGGAAAGUUGGACUGUCUGACUCAUGUGGCUGCUCCCAGAGCUCCUGGGACUGAAUCCUUCCCAGAUCUCCUCGGCUUGCCAGCUAAAGACUGACGCUGCCCGAGCAUCUCAGAGGCCCCCUGGACCAUCACACAGACGCCAAGCUUCGGGUAACUCUUACAGUGGAGGGUAAGUCCAAUCCUUUCUUAGUCAACAUGGGGGCCACCCACUCCACGCUGCCUUUCUUUCAAGGACCAGUCUCCUUGGACUCCAUAACUGCUGUGGGAAUUGACAGCAAGGUUUUCAGGCCUCUCAAAGCUCCCCAAGUCUGGUGUCAACUAGGCCAGCACUCCUUUCCACAUUCUUUCCUAAUCAUCCCCACUUGUUCAGUUCCCCUGUUAGGCCAAGAUAUCCUAACAAAAUUGUCUGCCUCCUAACUGUUCCUGGGCUACAGCCAUACCUCAUUGCUGCCCUCCUCCCCGAACCCAUACCUCCUUCAAUAGCUCCCCUAUGUCCUCUUACCUUAACCCUGGGGUGUGGAACACCACCUCCGCACCCCUUGCUACGAGUCAGUCAUCCCUCAUCAUCCCCCUGAAACCUAACCACCCUUAUCCCAUUCAGCACCAGUACCCUAUCCCAGCACAAGCCUUGAAAGGCCUAACGCCUGUUACUAUUCGCUUACUACAACAUGGCCUUUUAGUUCCCACUAACUAUCCCUACAACACCCCCAUCCUACCUGUCCAACAACCGGACAAGUCCUACAGGCUAGUCCCAGACCUUUGCCUUAUUAAUCAGAUAAUGCUCCCUAUCCAUCCUGUAGUGCCAAACCCCUAUACUCUCCCCAACUUCUCUGAAACUUACCCGAAUUCCUGAGGAAACUUAAAUGCCCUCCUCCUGUCUAUCUUGCCACUUCUCCCUCUUCCUCCAUUCUGUGUGCCAAGACAUUUCCUGAUUCCACUCCCAGGCUGCCACCCUUAACGCUCUUCUAAAGUGAAUAAAUAACCUUCCUUCCCAAGGUACCCUGUGUAACUUCUCCCCCAAUAAAGUAUAACUGUUUACUUUCCUCCUCAUUCUUUGUCUGCCUAUUCCUCCUGCUCCCAUGGCUGCUCCACAUAAUUGCACCUCCCCUUCCUAUUAUUCCCCACUAUCUCUACAAAACCCUUAACCGAUUCUUUGCUAAACCAAUCCAACCCAACCCUAGCAAAAGGUUGCUGGCUUUGCAUCUCUCUAUCAGCUACAACUUAUACUUCCACUCCCGUCCCUGCAAAGUCUUAGGUUCUUACUUGCCUAACCUAUCUCCCUCCCUAUGAAGGAAAAAGCCCCUUCAACUUUUAAAUAUGCAGUCACUAGCCGAGUUCUCCAUCAGUAACAUGACCAAACAUACCCUGACAGGACGCGCAGUACAGCUUCUGCGCUCCUACAUUUCCACCCUCACUCCAUAUACUGGUAAAAAACCCAUACAUGGUUCUGUGACCACAAAUACUGAUUUAACUUUUCAGGCUCCUUUAUGCUUCCAAUGCAAUCUAUCCUCAGGCUUACCUCUUGGCCACCUACUACCGCAUCAAUGCAACUUUACCUUAUCACUCCAAGCCCCAACCAUCAAAACUUUCUAGUCACUCAAACUGCUUCAUUUAGCUCACCUGUUUGCUUUACAGAACUCCCAAAAGUCAGUACCACCUCUGUGCUUAACAGACAGUCAGGGUUUUGUGUUGGCAGACAUACCCCUUGCAUGACUAUUCGCCCCUGGACCCAUUGUAACACAGCUCCCACAACCAAUGAAUGCCUUCUUAUACCCAUUUUUAAUCACUCCUCUGAAUGGCUCCUAGUAGAUACAAAAUGGUAACUCCUCCGGUGGAAAAACAAAACAAAUGGAGCCAUUCACAUUACCCCAACAGCCACUUUCCAGCCACUCACUGGACCCUAAGCGUAUAGGAACAUGAAAAUAAUAAACUCACACACCUCUUCAAUAUACACAACCAGUUCUGCUCACCCAGCCAAGGAAUAUUUUUCUUGUUCGGAACCUCAACUUACCUCUACCACCCUAAUAACUGGACCGGCACCUGCACCCUACUCUUUCUAAGCCCCAAAACAGACAUUGCCCCAGGGAACCAAAGUUUACCAGUCCCCGUUAAAGCCCAGGUCUGUCAGCGCAGAGCUGUGCAGCUAAUACCUCUGCUAAUAGGACUAGGAAUUGCCGCUGCUACAGGGACAGGAAUAGCAGGGCUGUCCACAUUACAUACCAUCAGCCUAACCCAUUCUCUCCUAUUUCAAACCCUUCCUUAGCCAGAGAUUGCUGGCUAUGCAUUUCCCUCUCCUCUUCCUCUUACACAGCCGUCCCCACACUAUCAGCUGACUGGGCAAACUCUCCCAUCUUUUUACACCUCUGGACUUCCUUCAACAACCCCCCUGUAUCCCCCAGAAAACUCCUCUACUUCCUAGAAAGAUUCAACAAAACACCCCAGAUACCUCAUGCCAAUAGGCUGCUGCUCUUCUUCGCACCUACCUAUAUAAUCUUUCCCCUUGUGUCAACUCCACACCCCCUGUUUUUGGACCACUAACCACACAAACAACUAUCCCUAUUGCUGCUCCCUUAUGCAUUUCCCAGCAACCACCUAAUGGAAUUCCCCUAGGAGACCUCCCACCCUCUUCGUGUUCCUUUACACUUCACCUGCAAGGCCCUGUCACCCACGUUAACCAAGAAAUAGGAACAUACCAGCUUUGCAUUAUGAAAAGGCCCUCCCUCAUUACUAGCACUCUUAAGAAUGCCAAUAGCAAGUUUUGCCUAGGUAGGCAUUUACCCUGUCUCUCACUCCUUCCUUGGCUGCUCUCCCCUUGUUCAUCAGACUCUCCUCCAGACCCUCUUCCUGCCUGCUCAUACCUAACCUUGUCAAUGAAAGUGAACAGCUACUCAUAGAUACCAAAUGCUUUCUCAUAUACCAUGAAAGCAAGACCUCUCCUUUCACAUAAUUACCCUACCAAACCCCACUGCAACCUUUAACAGCCAUGGCUCUUGCUGGUUCCCUUGGUAUCUGGGUAUAAGACCCCAGCUCCCACAAAGCACUUUCUUACCUUUUCAUUUUACACUUCCAGUUCUACUUAAGCCAAGGACUUUUUUUCCUCUGUGGCUCUUCCACCUACAUCUGCUUUCCAACUAACUGGACAGGCAGCUUUACCUUAAUCUUUCUUACUCCCAAAAUCCAGUUUGCCAAUGAAAAUGAACACCUCCCUGUCCCCCUUGUAACUCCUACACAACAAAAAAAGAGUCAUUCCAUUCAUUUCCUUGCUUGUAGGAUUAGGAGUCUCCACUGCUGCAAUCGGGACAGGCAGGAAUGCAAGGUUCUUCAAACUGACUGUACCAUGGACUACACCAUAAUCAAGCCAUGGUGACCCCUGUGACCCACAUGUACACCUCCAGAUGGCCUCCUGGAGCCAGAGAAUCUGAGAUAACAAGAAAACCACAAAAGGAGAAGAAUAGCUAGCUCCUGCCUUGCCUGAUUAACCAACCUUGUGACAUUCCACCAUUGUUCUGCCUCAAUUGAUAAGUCGACCUUGUGACACUGGACCCUGUGGCCUGAUUAACUGACUUUGUGACAUUCUACCAUUGUUCCUGCCUCAACUGAUAAGUCAACCUUGUGACAUUGGACUCUGUGACCCACCCUCCCCCCCGCUACGCUUGCACAAAACCACCCUAAACUGUGACUUUCCAUUACUUACCCCCAACCCUAUAAAACCAGCAACUAUCCUGCCACCCUCUGCUGACUCAGCCCACUCACACCGGGGUGAAUAAACAGCCUUGUUGCUCACACAAA